CAUUUUUCGUAUUUAUUACUCAAGAAAAUAUUUUUAUUAAAACUUUUUUCAUUUAACAUUAGAAACGCUUAUUAAUACGCUAUAGUAGGAUGGGAGGCUAUUUAACAUUGGUGUUCUGUCCAAAAGACAGCCUGCAUUGAUAUCUCUGGCAAUUUACUGUAAGGCUGAUUAUGCAACGCGAUUUUUGUGAACUUGUCAUCGCUAUGAUGACGGGUAAACCAAUAUUACCUUAUUCACUGCGUGAGAAUCUGUCCAGAUGAAACUAUCUUCUUCCGGCUUUAGCCCUGUGGACUAAGCCGGCAUUUUAUU
Molecule: small RNA, 309 nt
Filed under: Salmonella bongori
Lineage: Bacteria; Pseudomonadati; Pseudomonadota; Gammaproteobacteria; Enterobacterales; Enterobacteriaceae
Description: hilD 3'UTR
Rfam family: hilD 3'UTR
About the family: Target for hilD mRNA degradation by the degradosome and it may play an role in hilD and SPI-1 expression by serving as a target for the Hfq RNA chaperone.
Source: RNAcentral